RNAcentral lists this ribosomal RNA (468 nucleotides) under uncultured bacterium. RNAcentral's name for it is "partial 16S ribosomal RNA". It matches the Rfam family "Bacterial small subunit ribosomal RNA", at positions 28 to 507 of the family's 1533-position model. The record is from RNAcentral.
GACGAACGCUGGCGGCGUGCUUAACACAUGCAAGUCGAACGGAAAGGCCCUGCUUUUGUGGGGUGCUCGAGUGGCGAACGGGUGAGUAACACGUGAGUAACCUGCCCUUGACUUUGGGAUAACUUCAGGAAACUGGGGCUAAUACCGGAUAGGAGCUCCUGCUGCAUGGUGGGGGUUGGAAAGUUUCGGCGGUUGGGGAUGGACUCGGGGCAUAUCAGCUUGUUGGUGGGGUAGUGGCUUACCAAGGCUUUGACGGGUAGCCGGCCUGAGAGGGUGACCGGCCACAUUGGGACUGAGAUACGGCCCAGACUCCUGCGGGAGGCAGCAGUGGGGAAUAUUGCACAAUGGGCUGAAGCCUAAUGCAGCAACGCCGCGUGCGGAAUAACGGCCUUCGGGUUGUAAACCGCUUUCGCCUGUGACGAAGCGUGAGUGACGGUAAUGGGUAAAGAAGCACCGGCUAACUACGUG